GACGAACGCUGGCGGCGUGCUUAACACAUGCAAGUCGAACGGGAAGGCCUCUUUCGGGGGGUACUCGAGUGGCGAACGGGUGAGUAACACGUGAGUAACCUGCCCUUGACUUUGGGGUAACUUCAGGAAACUGGGGCUAAUACCGGAUAGGAGCUCCUGCUGCAUGGUGGGGGUUGGAAAGUUUCGGCGGUUGGGGAUGGACUCGCGGCUUAUCAGCUUGUUGGUGGGGUAGUGGCUUACCAAGGCUUUGACGGGUAGCCGGCCUGAGAGGGUGACCGGCCACAUUGGGACUGAGAUACGGCCCAGACUCCUACGGGAGGCAGCAGUGGGGAAUAUUGCACAAUGGGUGGAAGCCUGAUGCAGCAACGCCGUGUGCGGGAUGACGGCCUUCGGGUUGUAAACCGCUUUCGCUCAUGACGAAGCUUUGCGUGACGGUAGUGGGUAAAGAAGCACCGGCUAACUACGUG
This 467-nucleotide ribosomal RNA is filed under the name uncultured bacterium. Its description in RNAcentral is "partial 16S ribosomal RNA". It matches the Rfam family "Bacterial small subunit ribosomal RNA", at positions 28 to 507 of the family's 1533-position model. The record is from RNAcentral.